UACGUAGGGCGCAAGCGUUAUCCGGAAUUAUUGGGCGUAAAGAGCUCGUAGGCGGUUUGUCGUGUCUGCCGUGAAAGUCCGGGGCUCAACUCCGGAUCUGCGGUGGGUACGGGCAGACUAGAGUGAUGUAGGGGAGACUGGAAUUCCUGGUGUAGCGGUGAAAUGCGCAGAUAUCAGGAGGAACACCGGUGGCGAAGGCGGUUCUCUGGGCCUUACCUGACGCUGAGGAGCGAAAGCGUGGGGAGCAAACAGG
This 253-nucleotide ribosomal RNA is filed under the name uncultured bacterium. RNAcentral's name for it is "partial 16S ribosomal RNA". It matches the Rfam family "Bacterial small subunit ribosomal RNA", at positions 524 to 776 of the family's 1533-position model. The record is from RNAcentral.